AAACCAACAGGGAUUGCCCCAGUAGCGGCGAGUGAAGCGGCAAGAGCUCAGAUUUGAAAUCGUGUUUCGGCACGAGUUGUAGAGUGUAGGCGGGAGUCUCUGUGGAGCGCGGUGUCCAAGUCCCUUGGAACAGGGUGCCUGAGAGGGUGAGAGCCCCGUAGGGUGCUGCGCGAAGCUUUUGAGGCCCUGCUGACGAGUCGAGUUGUUUGGGAAUGCAGCUCCAAGCGGGUGGUAAAUUCCAUCUAAGGCUAAAUAUUGGCGAGAGACCGAUAGCGAACAAGUACUGUGAAGGAAAGAUGAAAAGCACUUUGAAAAGAGAGUGAAACAGCACGUGAAAUUGUUGAAAGGGAAGGGUAUUGGGCUCGACAUGGGGGGUGCGCACCGCUGUCUCUUGUAGGCGGCGCUCUGGGCGCCCUCUGGGCCAGCAUCGGUUCCUGCUGCGGGAGAAGGGGCUCCGGAAAGUGGCUCUUCGGAGUGUUAUAGCCCGGGGCCAGAUGCCCGCGUGUGGGGGACCGAA
This 517-nucleotide ribosomal RNA is filed under the name Pichia manshurica. Its description in RNAcentral is "eukaryotic LSU rRNA". It matches the Rfam family "Eukaryotic large subunit ribosomal RNA", at positions 62 to 591 of the family's 3401-position model. Lineage: Eukaryota; Fungi; Ascomycota; Pichiomycetes; Pichiales; Pichiaceae. The record is from RNAcentral.